CACCACUGCACUCCAGCCUGGCAAACAGAGGGAGACUCUGUCUCAAAAGAAAAAAAGAAAAAGAAAGUUGAGGCUUCCUGAAGCUACACACCACACACCCCCAUCCACCACCCAGCGAGUGGUAGAGUCCUGCAGCUCAGCAGACCACCUCCUCAACAAAACCUGUGUUUGCUUUCUUCUGGCACAGAGGGACUGAAUCAAGGUCAGGUUCAGACCCAGCCUCUGAGGAGGGACCUGAACUGGCCUGGGGAGCUACACCUUGGGGGCUUUCUCAGGAUCCAGCAGAGAAGCCUCCAGCACCAGCCUGGGGAUGGAGCUGCAGCGACGAGGACCGGGAGGCUGGAAUACCCGCCUCACUCCCAGCCCGGCUCAGCCCAGCCCAGAAAGGGCCCAGCCCUGUGAUUGGUCCUUGGGUCCCUGUUGCCAGGAAUUGAGUCCAAGAAAAUGAGAAGGAAGGGAGUGCGUAGGUCCAGUGAGGACGGAGGUGAAAUUUAUAUCUCUGCCAGAGCCUGGGUGCCUGCACCGCCAUGGACACCACCAGGGCACUGGGGACGCUGGGUGCACUGGAGCCGGAGACCCCUCUUCCUGGCCCUGGCUGUCCUGGUCGCCACAGUCCUGUGGGCUGUGAUCCUGAGUAUCCUAUUGUCCAAGGCCUCCACGGAGCGCGCGGCGCUGCUCGGCUGCCAGGACCUGCUGAGGACAAACGGUGCUUGCAGAGCGGGACGCCUGGGCCCCCGGGCCGUGCGGGGCGGGAGCGUCUGA
RNAcentral lists this long non-coding RNA (762 nucleotides) under Rhinopithecus bieti (black snub-nosed monkey). Its description in RNAcentral is "lncRNA (ENSRBIG00000046804.1)". Lineage: Eukaryota; Metazoa; Chordata; Mammalia; Primates; Cercopithecidae. The record is from RNAcentral.